Lingula anatina is the source of this 68-nucleotide non-coding RNA. The record is from the annotation of a RefSeq genome assembly. Lineage: Eukaryota; Metazoa; Brachiopoda; Lingulata; Lingulida; Lingulidae.
GGCCAAGUGGUGAAAAUUAUCAUGUGUGUUUGCAAAACACGAGUUGCGUAUUAAAUUCGCCUUGGUCU